GAUUGAACGCUGGCGGCAGGCUUAACACAUGCAAGUCGAACGGUAGCAGGAGAAAGCUUGCUUUCUUGCUGACGAGUGGCGGACGGGUGAGUAAUGCUUGGGAAUCUGGCUUAUGGAGGGGGAUAACUACGGGAAACUGUAGCUAAUACCGCGUAGUAUCGAGAGAUGAAAGUGCGGGACCGUAAGGCCGCAUGCCAUGAGAUGAGCCCAAGUGGGAUUAGGUAGUUGGUGGGGUAAAGGCCUACCAAGCCUGCGAUCUCUAGCUGGUCUGAGAGGAUGGCCAGCCACACUGGAACUGAGACACGGUCCAGACUCCUACGGGAGGCAGCAGUGGGGAAUAUUGCGCAAUGGGGGGAACCCUGACGCAGCCAUGCCGCGUGAAUGAAGAAGGCCUUCGGGUUGUAAAGUUCUUUCGGUAUUGAGGAAGGUUGAUGUGUUAAUAGUACAUCAAAUUGACGUUAAAUACAGAAGAAGCACCGGCUAACUCC
RNAcentral lists this ribosomal RNA (488 nucleotides) under Haemophilus sp. 'ARUP UnID 344'. Its description in RNAcentral is "bacterial SSU rRNA". It matches the Rfam family "Bacterial small subunit ribosomal RNA", at positions 27 to 504 of the family's 1533-position model. Lineage: Bacteria; Pseudomonadati; Pseudomonadota; Gammaproteobacteria; Pasteurellales; Pasteurellaceae. The record is from RNAcentral.